GUGGUUGUAGCUCAGUUGGUUAGAGCACUAGAUUGUGGUUCUAGGGGUCGCCGGUUCGAACCCGGUCUUCCACCCCA
Molecule: transfer RNA, 77 nt
Filed under: Bacteroidetes bacterium ADurb.Bin217
Lineage: Bacteria; Pseudomonadati; Bacteroidota
Also listed under: 1 other name
Description: tRNA-His
Rfam family: tRNA
About the family: Transfer RNA (tRNA) molecules are approximately 80 nucleotides in length. Their secondary structure includes four short double-helical elements and three loops (D, anti-codon, and T loops). Further hydrogen bonds mediate the characteristic L-shaped molecular structure. tRNAs have two regions of fundamental functional importance: the anti-codon, which is responsible for specific mRNA codon recognition, and the 3' end, to which the tRNAs corresponding amino acid is attached (by aminoacyl-tRNA synthetases). tRNAs cope with the degeneracy of the genetic code in two manners: having more than one tRNA (with a specific anti-codon) for a particular amino acid; and 'wobble' base-pairing, i.e. permitting non-standard base-pairing at the 3rd anti-codon position.
Source: RNAcentral